Molecule: ribosomal RNA, 1346 nt
Filed under: uncultured bacterium
Lineage: Bacteria
Description: partial 16S ribosomal RNA
Rfam family: Bacterial small subunit ribosomal RNA
Source: RNAcentral
GACGAACGCUGGCGGCGUGCUUAACACAUGCAAGUCGAACGGAAAGGCCCUGCUUUUGUGGGGUGCUCGAGUGGCGAACGGGUGAGUAACACGUGAGUAACCUGCCCUUGACUUUGGGAUAACUUCAGGAAACUGGGGCUAAUACCGGAUAGGAGCUCCUGCUGCAUGGUGGGGGUUGGAAAGUUUCGGCGGUUGGGGAUGGACUCGCGGCUUAUCAGCUUGUUGGUGGGGUAGUGGCUUACCAAGGCUUUGACGGGUAGCCGGCCUGAGAGGGUGACCGGCCACAUUGGGACUGAGAUACGGCCCAGACUCCUACGGGAGGCAGCAGUGGGGAAUAUUGCACAAUGGGCGGAAGCCUGAUGCAGCAACGCCGCGUGCGGGAUGACGGCCUUCGGGUUGUAAACCGCUUUCGCCUGUGACGAAGCGUGAGUGACGGUAAUGGGUAAAGAAGCACCGGCUAACUACGUGCCAGCAGCCGCGGUGAUACGUAGGGUGCGAGCGUUGUCCGGAUUUAUUGGGCGUAAAGGGCUCGUAGGUGGUUGAUCGCGUCGGAAGUGUAAUCUUGGGGCUUAACCCUGAGCGUGCUUUCGAUACGGGUUGACUUGAGGAAGGUAGGGGAGAAUGGAAUUCCUGGUGGAGCGGUGGAAUGCGCAGAUAUCAGGAGGAACACCAGUGGCGAAGGCGGUUCUCUGGGCCUUUCCUGACGCUGAGGAGCGAAAGCGUGGGGAGCGAACAGGCUUAGAUACCCUGGUAGUCCACGCUGUAAACGGUGGGUACUAGGUGUGGGGUCCAUUCCACGGGUUCCGUGCCGUAGCUAACGCUUUAAGUACCCCGCCUGGGGAGUACGGCCGCAAGGCUAAAACUCAAAGGAAUUGACGGGGCCCCGCACAAGCGGCGGAGCAUGCGGAUUAAUUCGAUGCAACGCGUAGAACCUUACCUGGGUUUGACAUGGAUCGGGAGUGCUCAGAGAUGGGUGUGCCUCUUUUGGGGUCGGUUCACAGGUGGUGCAUGGCUGUCGUCAGCUCGUGUCGUGAGAUGUUGGGUUAAGUCCCGCAACGAGCGCAACCCUUGUUCACUGUUGCCAGCACGUUAUGGUGGGGACUCAGUGGAGACCGCCGGGGUCAACUCGGAGGAAGGUGGGGACGACGUCAAGUCAUCAUGCCCCUUAUGUCCAGGGCUUCACGCAUGCUACAAUGGCCGGUACAGAGAGUGGCGAGCCUGUGAGGGUGAGCGAAUCUCGGAAAGCCGGUCUCAGUUCGGAUUGGGGUCUGCAACUCGACCUCAUGAAGUCGGAGUCGCUAGUAAUCGCAGAUCAGCAACGCUGCGGCGAAUACGUUCCCGGGGCU